GCGGUGGAGUAUGUGGUUUAAUUCGAUGCAACGCGAAGGACCUUACCUGGUCUUGACAUCCCGGAGACCCUUAGGAACUAGGGGUGCUUCCAUCUGGAAGAAUCUGGAGACAGGUGCUGCAUGGCUGUCGUCAGCUCGUGUCGUGAGAUGUUGGGUUAAGUCCCGCAACGAGCGCAACCCUUGCCUUUAGUUGCCAGCAGUUCGGCUGGGCACUCUAAAGGGACUGCCGGUGUUAAACCGGAGGAAGGUGGGGAUGACGUCAAGUCCUCAUGGCCUUUAUGACCAGGGCUACACACGUACUACAAUGGCCGAUACAAAGGGCAGCGACACUGCGAGGUGAAGCCAAUCCCGUAAAAUCGGUCUCAGUCCGGAUUGGAGUCUGCAACUCGACUCCAUGAAGUUGGAAUCGCUAGUAAUCGUGGAUCAGCAUGCCACGGUGAAUACGUUCCCGGGCCUU
RNAcentral lists this ribosomal RNA (457 nucleotides) under uncultured Desulfobulbus sp. RNAcentral describes it as "bacterial SSU rRNA". It matches the Rfam family "Bacterial small subunit ribosomal RNA", at positions 929 to 1382 of the family's 1533-position model. Lineage: Bacteria; Pseudomonadati; Thermodesulfobacteriota; Desulfobulbia; Desulfobulbales; Desulfobulbaceae. The record is from RNAcentral.